RNAcentral lists this long non-coding RNA (231 nucleotides) under Lupinus angustifolius (narrow-leaved blue lupine). RNAcentral describes it as "long non-coding RNA (LANG_LNC003631)". Lineage: Eukaryota; Viridiplantae; Streptophyta; Magnoliopsida; Fabales; Fabaceae. The record is from RNAcentral.
CGAAAUUUAGAGUCUAUAUCCGCAAAUUUUGUGUGCAAAGUAACUCGACAAAUUUUCUGUUAUUUGAGGAUAAUUCUCGUGGUGUGUGGUAUCAUCAUAAGUUGAGAAUCAGUUGUCUUCACAAGGCAGAGAGUCUUGAAUUGAGCAAUAAUUUCGGCUAAGGCCAAAUUGCACGAACGAUGUGGUAUCCAAGUAGGCGUUGAUAGUGGUCAAGGCGAGCUUGGUGGCUCA